GGUUAAGCGACUAAGCGUACACGGUGGAUGCCCUGGCAGUCAGAGGCGAUGAAGGACGUGCUAAUCUGCGAUAAGCGCCGGUAAGGUGAUAUGAACCGUUAUAACCGGCGAUUUCCGAAUGGGGAAACCCAGUGUGACUCGUCACACUAUCAUUAACUGAAUCCAUAGGUUAAUGAGGCGAACCGGGGGAACUGAAACAUCUAAGUACCCCGAGGAAAAGAAAUCAACCGAGAUUCCCCCAGUAGCGGCGAGCGAACGGGGAGGAGCCCAGAGCCUGAAUCAGCAUGUGUGUUAGUGGAAGCGUCUGGAAAGGCGCGCGAUACAGGGUGACAGCCCCGUACACAAAAGCGCAUGUGCUGUGAGCUCGAUGAGUAGGGCGGGACACGUGGUAUCCUGUCUGAAUAUGGGGGGACCAUCCUCCAAGGCUAAAUACUCCUGACUGACCGAUAGUGAACCAGUACCGUGAGGGAAAGGCGAAAAGAACCCCGGCGAGGGGAGUGAAAAAGAACCUGAAACCGUGUACGUACAAGCAGUGGGAGCACCCUUUGGGGUGUGACUGCGUACCUUUUGUAUAAUGGGUCAGCGACUUAUAUUCUGUAGCAAGGUUAACCGAAUAGGGGAGCCGGAGGGAAACCGAGUCUUAACCGGGCGUUAAGUUGCAGGGUAUAGACCCGAAACCCGGUGAUCUAGCCAUGGGCAGGUUGAAGGUUGGGUAACACUAACUGGAGGACCGAACCGACUAAUGUUGAAAAAUUAGCGGAUGACCUGUGGCUGGGGGUGAAAGGCCAAUCAAACCGGGAGAUAGCUGGUUCUCCCCGAAAGCUAUUUAGGUAGCGCCUCGUGAAUUCAUCUCCGGGGGUAGAGCACUGUUUCGGCUAGGGGGCCAUCCCGGCUUACCAACCCGAUGCAAACUGCGAAUACCGGAGAAUGUUAUCACGGGAGACACACGGCGGGUGCUAACGUCCGUCGUGAAGAGGGAAACAACCCAGACCGCCAGCUAAGGUCCCAAAGUCAUGGUUAAGUGGGAAACGAUGUGGGAAGGCCCAGACAGCCAGGAUGUUGGCUUAGAAGCAGCCAUCAUUUAAAGAAAGCGUAAUAGCUCACUGGUCGAGUCGGCCUGCGCGGAAGAUGUAACGGGGCUAAACCAUGCACCGAAGCUGCGGCAGCGACGCUGAUGCGUUGUUGGGUAGGGGAGCGUUCUGUAAGCCUGUGAAGGUGGCCUGUGAGGGUUGCUGGAGGUAUCAGAAGUGCGAAUGCUGACAUAAGUAACGAUAAAGCGGGUGAAAAGCCCGCUCGCCGGAAGACCAAGGGUUCCUGUCCAACGUUAAUCGGGGCAGGGUGAGUCGACCCCUAAGGCGAGGCCGAAAGGCGUAGUCGAUGGGAAACGGGUUAAUAUUCCCGUACUUGGUGUUACUGCGAAGGGGGGACGGAGAAGGCUAUGUUGGCCGGGCGACGGUUGUCCCGGUUUAAGCGUGUAGGUGUGUGUUCCAGGUAAAUCCGGUUCACUUUAACACUGAGGCGUGAUGACGAGGCACUACGGUGCUGAAGCAACAAAUGCCCUGCUUCCAGGAAAAGCCUCUAAGCAUCAGGUAACAUCAAAUCGUACCCCAAACCGACACAGGUGGUCAGGUAGAGAAUACCAAGGCGCUUGAGAGAACUCGGGUGAAGGAACUAGGCAAAAUGGUGCCGUAACUUCGGGAGAAGGCACGCUGACACGUAGGUGAAGUGAUUUACUCAUGGAGCUGAAGUCAGUCGAAGAUACCAGCUGGCUGCAACUGUUUAUUAAAAACACAGCACUGUGCAAACACGAAAGUGGACGUAUACGGUGUGACGCCUGCCCGGUGCCGGAAGGUUAAUUGAUGGGGUCAGCGCAAGCGAAGCUCCUGAUCGAAGCCCCGGUAAACGGCGGCCGUAACUAUAACGGUCCUAAGGUAGCGAAAUUCCUUGUCGGGUAAGUUCCGACCUGCACGAAUGGCGUAAUGAUGGCCAGGCUGUCUCCACCCGAGACUCAGUGAAAUUGAACUCGCUGUGAAGAUGCAGUGUACCCGCGGCAAGACGGAAAGACCCCGUGAACCUUUACUAUAGCUUGACACUGAACAUUGAGCCUUGAUGUGUAGGAUAGGUGGGAGGCUUUGAAGUGUGGACGCCAGUCUGCAUGGAGCCGGCCUUGAAAUACCACCCUUUAAUGUUUGAUGUUCUAACGUGGACCCGUGAUCCGGGUUGCGGACAGUGUCUGGUGGGUAGUUUGACUGGGGCGGUCUCCUCCUAAAGAGUAACGGAGGAGCACGAAGGUUGGCUAAUCCUGGUCGGACAUCAGGAGGUUAGUGCAAUGGCAUAAGCCAGCUUGACUGCGAGCGUGACGGCGCGAGCAGGUGCGAAAGCAGGUCAUAGUGAUCCGGUGGUUCUGAAUGGAAGGGCCAUCGCUCAACGGAUAAAAGGUACUCCGGGGAUAACAGGCUGAUACCGCCCAAGAGUUCAUAUCGACGGCGGUGUUUGGCACCUCGAUGUCGGCUCAUCACAUCCUGGGGCUGAAGUAGGUCCCAAGGGUAUGGCUGUUCGCCAUUUAAAGUGGUACGCGAGCUGGGUUUAGAACGUCGUGAGACAGUUCGGUCCCUAUCUGCCGUGGGCGCUGGAGAACUGAGGGGGGCUGCUCCUAGUACGAGAGGACCGGAGUGGACGCAUCACUGGUGUUCGGGUUGUCAUGCCAAUGGCACUGCCCGGUAGCUAAAUGCGGAAGAGAUAAGUGCUGAAAGCAUCUAAGCACGAAACUUGCCCCGAGAUGAGUUCUCCCUGAGACUUUAAGUCUCCUGAAGGAACGUUGAAGACGACGACGUUGAUAGGCCGGGUGUGUAAGCGCAGCGAUGCGUUGAGCUAACCGGUACUAAUGAACCGUGAGGCUUAACCUUAC
RNAcentral lists this ribosomal RNA (2908 nucleotides) under Salmonella enterica subsp. enterica serovar Javiana str. CFSAN001992. RNAcentral describes it as "bacterial LSU rRNA". It matches the Rfam family "Bacterial large subunit ribosomal RNA". The record is from RNAcentral. Lineage: Bacteria; Pseudomonadati; Pseudomonadota; Gammaproteobacteria; Enterobacterales; Enterobacteriaceae.